UGCAAGUCGAGCGAACAGAUGAGGAGCUUGCUCCUUUGACGUUAGCGGCGGACGGGUGAGUAACACGUGGGUAACCUACCUAUAAGACUGGAAUAACUCCGGGAAACCGGGGCUAAUGCCGGAUAAUAUGUUGAACCGCAUGGUUCAACAGUGAAAGACGGUUUUGCUGUCACUUAUAGAUGGACCCGCGCCGUAUUAGCUAGUUGGUGAGGUAACGGCUCACCAAGGCGACGAUACGUAGCCGACCUGAGAGGGUGAUCGGCCACACUGGAACUGAGACACGGUCCAGACUCCUACGGGAGGCAGCAGUAGGGAAUCUUCCGCAAUGGGCGAAAGCCUGACGGAGCAACGCCGCGUGAGUGAUGAAGGUCUUCGGAUCGUAAAGCUCUGUUGUUAGGGAAGAACACAUGUGUAAGUCACUAUGCACAUCUUGACGGUACCUAACCAGAAAGCCACGGCUAACUACGUGCCAGCAGCCGCGGUAAUACGUAGGUGGCAAGCGUUAUCCGGAAUUAUUGGGCGUAAAGCGCGCGUAGGCGGUUUUUUAAGUCUGAUGUGAAAGCCCACGGCUCAACCGUGGAGGGUCAUUGGAAACUGGAAAACUUGAGUGCAGAAGAGGAAAGUGGAAUUCCAUGUGUAGCGGUGAAAUGCGCAGAGAUAUGGAGGAACACCAGUGGCGAAGGCGGCUUUCUGGUCUGCAACUGACGCUGAUGUGCGAAAGCGUGGGGAUCAAACAGGAUUAGAUACCCUGGUAGUCCACGCCGUAAACGAUGAGUGCUAAGUGUUAGGGGGUUUCCGCCCCUUAGUGCUGCAGCUAACGCAUUAAGCACUCCGCCUGGGGAGUACGGUCGCAAGACUGAAACUCAAAGGAAUUGACGGGGACCCGCACAAGCGGUGGAGCAUGUGGUUUAAUUCGAAGCAACGCGAAGAACCUUACCAAAUCUUGACAUCCUUUGACCGCUCUAGAGAUAGAGUUUUCCUCUUCGGAGGACAAAGUGACAGGUGGUGCAUGGUUGUCGUCAGCUCGUGUCGUGAGAUGUUGGGUUAAGUCCCGCAACGAGCGCAACCCUUGAACUUAGUUGCCAUCAUUCAGUUGGGCACUCUAAGUUGACUGCCGGUGACAAACCGGAGGAAGGUGGGGAUGACGUCAAAUCAUCAUGCCCCUUAUGAUUUGGGCUACACACGUGCUACAAUGGACAAUACAAAGGGCAGCGAAACCGCGAGGUCAAGCAAAUCCCAUAAAGUUGUUCUCAGUUCGGAUUGUAGUCUGCAACUCGACUACA
RNAcentral lists this ribosomal RNA (1283 nucleotides) under Staphylococcus lutrae. RNAcentral's name for it is "bacterial SSU rRNA". It matches the Rfam family "Bacterial small subunit ribosomal RNA", at positions 56 to 1320 of the family's 1533-position model. Lineage: Bacteria; Bacillati; Bacillota; Bacilli; Caryophanales; Staphylococcaceae. The record is from RNAcentral.